Molecule: non-coding RNA, 522 nt
Organism: Vicugna pacos (alpaca)
Lineage: Eukaryota; Metazoa; Chordata; Mammalia; Artiodactyla; Camelidae
Source: RefSeq, a predicted model, not a curated record
ACAAGGCACUGAAAAAAACGUCUGCCGAACAGAUACCUCUUGCCAUGUAUGAGAUCCUGUGAUUCACUCAUCCUCUCAGCCUUAGCGACAGAACGGGACCCAGCAGCAGGAAGAACAUGUACAAAAGCACAGAAGUCCAGAAGAGCCUGCAAUCUGGUAGAAAUGGCACAGAACUCCACUUGCCUAGAGCACAUGGUACAAACGGUGACAGUCUCUGAAAAGCAAGACACAUCCAACACAGGAAAAGCAAGAACUGCCUGCUGAUGAGCACUUUCAGAUCUAAGACAGGGCGGCCCCUCUUAAAAAUCCCCUGGGCCUGGACCCCAAGCUGAGAAGAUUCACCAAUGGGACCUGGAUUUGACUCCUCCCUCCUCUGAGCUCUCAGAACGUGCUCAGAACUGUAGUCCAGUAUAGGCACCACCCUGUUCUCACUUGCCUGUCUCUCUACUUCAUUUAACCUUCUGUAUUGAAGUAUAAUUACAUACAAUAAACCUCUAACGGGUAAUGGGCACCAUUUAAUUA